RNAcentral lists this ribosomal RNA (254 nucleotides) under uncultured bacterium. RNAcentral's name for it is "partial 16S ribosomal RNA". It matches the Rfam family "Bacterial small subunit ribosomal RNA", at positions 524 to 776 of the family's 1533-position model. The record is from RNAcentral.
UACAGAGGUCCCAAGCGUUGUUCGGAUUCACUGGGCGUAAAGGGUGCGUAGGUGGUGGGGUAAGUCGGAUGUGAAAUCUCCAAGCUCAACUUGGAAACUGCAUUGGAAACUACCUUGCUAGAGGAUUUGAGGGGGGGAUUGGAAUACUUGGUGUAGCAGUGAAAUGCGUAGAUAUCAAGUGGAACACCAGUGGCGAAGGCGAAUCCCUGGAAAAUACCUGACACUGAGGCACGAAAGCUAGGGGAGCAAACAGG